CAGGACACGGGCCCUCGAGGCCUGGAGUUGGACACCCCUGCUGUAGAUGAUCAGUGACUCAGGUUACCAGUAAACAUUAAAAGAUUUCAGAGGAGCACUUUUAAAGUAUCCUUAAUACUUUCAAGCAGAACUGGAUUGGAAACCAAAAAAAGCUUUUUCUGAGCCAUGAGAGCUGACGGGAUACAACUUUUUAAAAUCAGAAACAAAGGUACAGUGAAUGAUAUUAACGGCAGGGAAACAACACUGGGGGAAGACAAGAAGGAGAAGUGUUUCCAGGAGGAAGCUGCAGUGAGGACACACUGAGGUCAGAGUUCCUGGUGAAUCACAGCAGAACCAUAAAGGCUGCUGGACUGCAGGACGGCUUAGCCCUGAGAAGCCAUCCAGUUACAGGAGGAGCAGAUCAAAGAGAAUCGUGAUGUUUCUGCUUCCAUUUUGAUUCCAAGAAGAAGAACGCUUCAAAGAAGUGGCGUUCAUGGUCCACAGUGUGACGAUCGUGGCCACACACUGCAUGUGCUUUUUAAAGCAACAUGUUUCUUCACUUCAAAAACUUUGACAUAUGCCUUGUUGUUUGGAUAUGUGUAAUAUUAGUGCAUGUUAGGGUUUUUUACUGAAAAUUGUUCACGUCUGUUUUGUAUUUUGAUGAUCGCAGCAAAGAUACUGUUUUAAAAAGUUUUGUUUUCAGAGCCUUUCUUUAAAAUCCUGAGCCUGUAGUUUUACAUGAAUGUUACGUUUUCAUUUCUGAUCUUGUAAUGCUUGCACUACACUGUGCACGUCUGCAUUAGAGACAUCUUAGUUACCUAUUUGUGAAACUGAGCUGCUUGACUAUUAUUUGGAAGUGUAUGUAAAAAGCACGAUAUUGUUUCUUUUUUAAUGUGAUGGACUGAACUCAGGAGGUAUCUGCUUUUGACCAAAGAUUAAUCUGAUCUCAUUUCUACCUGUAUCUACUGUUUCAAGAUUUAGCUGAAGUUUGCUCAACUUUAAUUGUUUAUUCCAUCUCUCAUAGUGCAGCCAUGAGACAGACCUAUUAAACUCAAUGCACGAUGUAAAGUUCAUAAUUCUCUGACAAAUAAAACUGUAAUA
Long non-coding RNA from Pundamilia nyererei, 1080 nucleotides. RefSeq lists it as uncharacterized. The transcript has 5 exons. Lineage: Eukaryota; Metazoa; Chordata; Actinopteri; Cichliformes; Cichlidae. The record is from RefSeq and is a predicted model, not a curated record.